Molecule: small nuclear RNA, 157 nt
Organism: Microtus ochrogaster (prairie vole)
Lineage: Eukaryota; Metazoa; Chordata; Mammalia; Rodentia; Cricetidae
Gene: U1
Rfam family: U1 spliceosomal RNA
About the family: U1 is a small nuclear RNA (snRNA) component of the spliceosome (involved in pre-mRNA splicing). Its 5' end forms complementary base pairs with the 5' splice junction, thus defining the 5' donor site of an intron.
Source: Ensembl
UCACUUCCCUGAUACAAAACAUGCUGUCACCAAGAAGGAUAUUUUCAUGGGCCAAGGCUUAUCGAUUGCACUCCCAAUGUGUUGACCCCUAUGAUUUCCCCAAAUGUGGGACAUUUGAUGGUAUAGUUUGUGUUAUUAAGGUGCAACAUUCACUCUC